This 1112-nucleotide long non-coding RNA is filed under the name Olea europaea subsp. europaea. The record is from RNAcentral. Lineage: Eukaryota; Viridiplantae; Streptophyta; Magnoliopsida; Lamiales; Oleaceae.
UCACAUUCUUUACCUCCAUAUCUAUCAUUAAUUUUAAACCCACGAUUAAGGCUUCAUAUUCGGCUUGAUUGUUGGUGCACAUCCUAUCCAAAGUGAAUGCGAACUUGUAACAAAUCCCUACAGAAUUUAUCAAUGCUACUACUACUCCUGCACCUUUAGAGGUUUUCGACCCAUCGAAUAUGAAACCCAAGGUUUUAAUUCGAAUGAAUUGAUUUCUAAUUCAAUUUCCUCAGACAUGUCAAGGCAUGGAUGAUCGGCUAGAAAGUUAGCCAAAGCCUGAUUUUUUAUUGCCUUUUGGGGUAUGUAUUGUAUUUCGAAUUCUGAUAAUGCUAACGUCCAAAAGCCUACCCUCUGAUGUAAAAUAGGGCGAGAGAACAUAUACUUAACCAAAUUUACUCUACAAAUCAAAUAAACGGUUACGGACCGUAAAUAAGCCCUUAAUUUCGUACACGUGAAAUACAAUGCAAGAUAUAAUUUUUCAAUGGUAGAGUAAUUACAUUCACAUUUUGUUAACCGUCUACUCAAGUAGUUAAUCGCUCUCUCUUCACCAAAUUGGUCUUCUUGCGCGACCAUUCCAGCUAUUGAUUCUUGUUCAGCCGAUAUAUACACUUUCAUUGGCCGUCUUUGGAUUGAUAACUCCAAUACUGGUGGACUUGAUAAAUAUGUCUUUAGGCUUUUCAGACGAAUUCGUCCUGAUUUUUCAGCUUUAAAAGUGGCGAAAAAAUUUUAGUUCGCCCUGCACAGUUAGAAAUAAAGCAUCUUAAAAAAUUUACUUGGCUUAGCAACAUUUGCAAUUCUUUUUUAUUGCUAGGUGGUUUGGCCUCUAAAAUGGCCUAAGCUUUAUUUUUAUCAAGUUCAAUCCCCCUUUUAUGUACUAAGAAAUCAAGGAAGUUUCCUGCAUUAACGCUAAAUGCACAUUUCAAGGGAUUCAAUUUUAGUUUAUAUUGCUUCAUUCGCUCAAAUGAACAUCUCAAUUGUUCAAAAUGAUCCUCUUCUUUAAUGAAUUUGACCACUAUAUAAUCUACAUACACCUCAACAAACUUGCCUAUCAUAUCAUGAAAAAUCAAGUUCAUUGCCCUUUGAUAAGUCGCUCCUGCAUUUUUCAGGCCAAA